AACGAACGCUGGCGGCAUGCCUAACACAUGCAAGUCGAACGAGACCUCCGGGUCUACUUGCGCACAGGGGCGUAACGCGGCGGAACCUGCACUUAGGUUCCGGAUAACUCCCUGAAGGGGGUGCUAAUACCGGAAAAUGUCUUCGAACCAACGAUUUAUCGCCUGUGGAUGGGCCCGCGUUGUUUCAGCUAGUUGGUAGGGAAAAAGCCUACCAAGGCGACGAUCCUUAGCGGGUCAGAGAGAAUGGUCAGCCACACUGGGACUGAGAAACGGCCCGGAAUCAUACGCAAGGCGGGCAUGGGGAAUAUUGGCCAACGGGGGAAAGCAUGAAGCAGUACUGGUGCGAGAGCGAUGAAGGUGUUAGGGAUGAAAAGCACUUUUACCCGGGAUGAUAAUGACAGUACCGGGAGAAUAAGCUCCGGCUAACUCCGUG
Molecule: ribosomal RNA, 433 nt
Filed under: uncultured bacterium
Lineage: Bacteria
Description: partial 16S ribosomal RNA
Rfam family: Bacterial small subunit ribosomal RNA
Source: RNAcentral